CUGUGUGUUGUUGGGUAGGGGAGCGUUCUGUAAGCCUGUGAAGGUGUGCUGUGAGGCAUGCUGGAGGUAUCAGAAGUGCGAAUGCUGACAUAAGUAACGAUAAAGCGGGUGAAAAGCCCGCUCGCCGGAAGACCAAGGGUUCCUGUCCAACGUUAAUCGGGGCAGGGUGAGUCGACCCCUAAGGCGAGGCCGAAAGGCGUAGUCGAUGGGAAACAGGUUAAUAUUCCUGUACUUGGUGUUACUGCGAAGGGGGGACGGAGAAGGCUAUGUUGGCCGGGCGACGGUUGUCCCGGUUUAAGCGUGUAGGCUGGUUUUCCAGGCAAAUCCGGAAAAUCAAGGCUGAGGCGUGAUGACGAGGCACUACGGUGCUGAAGCAACAAAUGCCCUGCUUCCAGGAAAAGCCUCUAAGCAUCAGGUAACAUCAAAUCGUACCCCAAACCGACACAGGUGGUCAGGUAGAGAAUACCAAGGCGCUUGAGAGAACUCGGGUGAAGGAACUAGGCAAAAUGGUGCCGUAACUUCGGGAGAAGGCACGCUGAUAUGUAGGUGAAGUCCCUCGCGGAUGGAGCUGAAAUCAGUCGAAGAUACCAGCUGGCUGCAACUGUUUAUUAAAAACACAGCACUGUGCAAACACGAAAGUGGACGUAUACGGUGUGACGCCUGCCCGGUGCCGGAAGGUUAAUUGAUGGGGUCAGCGCAAGCGAAGCUCUUGAUCGAAGCCCCGGUAAACGGCGGCCGUAACUAUAACGGUCCUAAGGUAGCGAAAUUCCUUGUCGGGUAAGUUCCGACCUGCACGAAUGGCGUAAUGAUGGCCAGGCUGUCUCCACCCGAGACUCAGUGAAAUUGAACUCGCUGUGAAGAUGCAGUGUACCCGCGGCAAGACGGAAAGACCCCGUGAACCUUUACUAUAGCUUGACACUGAACAUUGAGCCUUGAUGUGUAGGAUAGGUGGGAGGCUUUGAAGUGUGGACGCCAGUCUGCAUGGAGCCGACCUUGAAAUACCACCCUUUAAUGUUUGAUGUUCUAACGUGGACCCGUGAUCCGGGUUGCGGACAGUGUCUGGUGGGUAGUUUGACUGGGGCGGUCUCCUCCUAAAGAGUAACGGAGGAGCACGAAGGUUGGCUAAUCCUGGUCGGACAUCAGGAGGUUAGUGCAAUGGCAUAAGCCAGCUUGACUGCGAGCGUGACGGCGCGAGCAGGUGCGAAAGCAGGUCAUAGUGAUCCGGUGGUUCUGAAUGGAAGGGCCAUCGCUCAACGGAUAAAAGGUACUCCGGGGAUAACAGGCUGAUACCGCCCAAGAGUUCAUAUCGACGGCGGUGUUUGGCACCUCGAUGUCGGCUCAUCACAUCCUGGGGCUGAAGUAGGUCCCAAGGGUAUGGCUGUUCGCCAUUUAAAGUGGUACGCGAGCUGGGUUUAGAACGUCGUGAGACAGUUCGGUCCCUAUCUGCCGUGGGCGCUGGAGAACUGAGGGGGGCUGCUCCUAGUACGAGAGGACCGGAGUGGACGCAUCACUGGUGUUCGGGUUGUCAUGCCAAUGGCACUGCCCGGUAGCUAAAUGCGGAAGAGAUAAGUGCUGAAAGCAUCUAAGCACGAAACUUGCCCCGAGAUGAGUUCUCCCUGACCCUUUAAGGGUCCUGAAGGAACGUUGAAGACGACGACGUUGAUAGGCCGGGUGUGUAAGCGCAGCGAUGCGUUGAGCUAACCGGUACUAAUGAACCGUGAGGCUUAACCUU
RNAcentral lists this ribosomal RNA (1732 nucleotides) under Escherichia coli B90. Its description in RNAcentral is "bacterial LSU rRNA". It matches the Rfam family "Bacterial large subunit ribosomal RNA", at positions 1214 to 2925 of the family's 2925-position model. The record is from RNAcentral. Lineage: Bacteria; Pseudomonadati; Pseudomonadota; Gammaproteobacteria; Enterobacterales; Enterobacteriaceae.